This 465-nucleotide ribosomal RNA is filed under the name uncultured Klebsiella sp. RNAcentral describes it as "bacterial SSU rRNA". It matches the Rfam family "Bacterial small subunit ribosomal RNA", at positions 338 to 795 of the family's 1533-position model. Lineage: Bacteria; Pseudomonadati; Pseudomonadota; Gammaproteobacteria; Enterobacterales; Enterobacteriaceae. The record is from RNAcentral.
ACUACGGGGGGCAGCAGUGGGGAAUAUUGCACAAUGGGCGCAAGCCUGAUGCAGCCAUGCCGCGUGUGUGAAGAAGGCCUUCGGGUUGUAAAGCACUUUCAGCGGGGAGGAAGGCGGUGAGGUUAAUAACCUCAUCGAUUGACGUUACCCGCAGAAGAAGCACCGGCUAACUCCGUGCCAGCAGCCGCGGUAAUACGGAGGGUGCAAGCGUUAAUCGGAAUUACUGGGCGUAAAGCGCACGCAGGCGGUCUGUCAAGUCGGAUGUGAAAUCCCCGGGCUCAACCUGGGAAUUGCAUUCGAAACUGGCAGGCUAGAGUCUUGUAGAGGGGGGUAGAAGUCCAGGUGUAGCGGUGAAAUGCGUAGAGAUCUGGAGGAAUACCGGUGGCGAAGGCGGCCCCCUGGACAAAGACUGACGCUCAGGUGCGAAAGCGUGGGGAGCAAACAGGAUUAGAUACCCGAGUAGUC